CAGCCGCCACGGUAAUACAGAGGAUGCAAGCGUUAUCCGGAAUGAUUGGGCGUAAAGCGUCUGUAGGUGGCUUUUCAAGUCCGCCGUCAAAUCCCAGGGCUCAACCCUGGACAGGCGGUGGAAACUACCAAGCUGGAGUACGGUAGGGGCAGAGGGAAUUUCCAGUGGAGCGGUGAAAUGCGUUGAGACCGAAAAGAACACCAACAGCGAAAGCACUCUGCUGGGACGACACUGACACUAAGAGACGAAAGCUAGGGGAGCAAAUGGGAUUAGAUACCCCUGUAGUCCCUGUCUCUUAUAC
RNAcentral lists this ribosomal RNA (301 nucleotides) under uncultured bacterium. Its description in RNAcentral is "partial 16S ribosomal RNA". It matches the Rfam family "Bacterial small subunit ribosomal RNA", at positions 509 to 807 of the family's 1533-position model. The record is from RNAcentral.